RNAcentral lists this long non-coding RNA (293 nucleotides) under Elaeis guineensis (African oil palm). Its description in RNAcentral is "long non-coding RNA (EGUI_LNC057867)". The record is from RNAcentral. Lineage: Eukaryota; Viridiplantae; Streptophyta; Magnoliopsida; Arecales; Arecaceae.
CCCUCUCUUCUCCCUUAGGUGUCUCACAUUCCCUUCUCUUGGGCAUCCCACCUCUUCAUGCCCACAAGGGCCUUAGGCAUCCACCUCCUUUGCUGGUUUUUAGUCCCUGGUAAUAGCAUAAAUCAAGGAGGAAAAAGCAAGAGAAGAAGAAAAGAAGAAGAUCAAGGAUGGAGAUCAAAGAGUUGAUUGCAAUCCAAGCUUCGUUCAGAUUCACAGGCUGAAUUUUCUUAGAAAAAAAAAUUAAUCUUAAGAAGGCUAUUUCAGGUCGAUCCUGAGUGGAUACCCAUAGAGGC